AGAUCUGUAAUAAGAAACUCACUAUAUAUAUAUAUAUUCAAACCGAGAAGUAUUGCUGAUUAGCCUCCCAAAUAGGAAGCACGAGUCAAAUCUUAUGACUAUUUCUUUCACUUUGCUUGCUUAAAGAAUGACUAAAAUUAAUCAAUUUUGGAGCAGGACUGAGAUUUUUCAUCUGAAACGAAAAAGUUGCGGCCUCUCAAAGACAAAAUCGAGAAAUAUGCAUUGCAUCAAUGAUUAUUGAAUAUCCGUUUCCUAAUAAAAAUCAGGGUCAGGGUCUGGGUUAUUUUGUGAGAUUGGAAUCAAUUUUAUGUUUGGUUCAGACAAAAUGGAUGCGUCUUGGGUCCACAUUUUUUAAUUCUUGACAAAAAAAUUUUUUUAUCCCAGUUGACACUUGUAUUCUUUUAGCUUAAAAUAAUUAGUUGAAUUAGUCCAUUCAAAUUUGUACGGUGGUGCCACUAGGCGUGGCUUAAUCAUAACACAAAUAUGCAAAGCUUGAAAACUGGGUGAUUGGAAAGAUCCGCAACGAACAGAAUGCCAGAUGGAACGCCAAGCCAAGCCACCAUGCAUUGACUUCACGGAAUGUCCAUAUUAAUUGUGCUUAUUUUAAUUAUGGGCUGGGCGAGUUGAAAAGAAUUGAUAUGGUGAUAAAGAUUGAAGAGAGAUGAGAUUUGAAGAUAGACACGCACCAUAUUGUCUUGCAGCUGGAGCUGCUUUCUUGGACAUCUCCUCAACACAAGGGAUUCUUGCGUGUCGGCCGGACUCUUUCCUUUUUUAUUCUGGCUCAAGUUCAAUAAAUAUAUGGAUUUUACUUGUUUCUAGGAAAAAGCCACACCAAUUAAAGCGUGUGUAUGGCGAUCACCAUCACCAUCACCAUGACUCUUUGACAAAUUUGGCAACUUGUCUACCCUAAAGCUAGAUUAACGAUUGCCUCAAUAUGAAAAAGGAAGCUAAAUUAAUGUGUCCAAGUUCAUCCAAUCUUCGACUAUUUAUUGUUGUUAUUUAUGACCCGUAAAUCAAAAUCAACUUUGCCAAAAUCAAUCUCUCCAACCACUUAUUUUGAAAAAUAGGGAACGAAUAG
This 1078-nucleotide long non-coding RNA is filed under the name Citrus x clementina. RNAcentral's name for it is "Citrus clementina (C. clementina) long non-coding RNA (CCLE_LNC003026)". The record is from RNAcentral. Lineage: Eukaryota; Viridiplantae; Streptophyta; Magnoliopsida; Sapindales; Rutaceae.